GAGACAUAAUGUCCUUUCUCUGGUGUGUUUCUAUUUUGGCUGUUCGAUGACUAGAAAGAGAAAAGUAAUUGAGUUGUAAAAUGGGCAUGAAAUCAGCAUGGAAAAGGGCUGGAAAAGAAAAAUAAUCAAUGCACAUCUGCUCACAAGAUAUUUGUGUUGAUUAUUUCGAACUGUAUUUGUAGGCUUUUUUCAAUAAAUUUACAAGCACAGUUUUGGCAUAACAAACCUUAUUUCAAGUCUCUCUUUAGUCUUAAUUACAGUGAAGUCAACAUGCUAGAGCCGGCAAAUUACUAUCCAAUGCCCAAAGAAGAAGCCUCUUCAUUUAAGCAGCAAAUCUUGCAGGGCACCAAGCAAUGCAGCAGGAGAUCACCCACCACUUCCCUAUGUGUGUCAGGCUGUCACAGAACCUACAGACCCAAGACAAUGUGUUACAGUCAACUGUUGGAGCUUCAUCAAUCAUUCUCAGGUAUGUUUUCAUGUAAAAGAGGAAGCCAGUCCCGUCAUCGCCAACUCACCAGCUCUUAAAAUAACAUUUGGGCCAACUAGGGGACCAAGGCUGAUUAGGAGACACCGCAAUUGUGAUGAACUGAGAGAAUAUUAGGGUAGCACUGUAAUUCAUUAAUCAUAUGCUGUCUGCUGCUGUUCUUACCUCUUUCCCUUUCCGUCUUCUACACCUCUCUCCCCACCUCGUCUUUCUUCCUCGUUUUAUAAUGUACACCAUAUGUGCAUUGAAGUACAGACUGAACAUGUAUGUAUAAUACAAUAUUACAAUUAUCAUAAUUAUAAUGCAUGUAUUAUGAAUUCCUUUUAAUAAAGCGUUUCACAUUAUCCACUGUUUGAAAUUAAAUAUCUCAUUGAAAUACUA
Oncorhynchus kisutch (coho salmon) is the source of this 865-nucleotide long non-coding RNA. RefSeq lists it as uncharacterized. NCBI's taxonomy places the organism in Eukaryota, Metazoa, Chordata, Actinopteri, Salmoniformes, Salmonidae. The record is from RefSeq and is a predicted model, not a curated record. The transcript is spliced from 3 exons.